Molecule: ribosomal RNA, 253 nt
Filed under: uncultured bacterium
Lineage: Bacteria
Description: partial 16S ribosomal RNA
Rfam family: Bacterial small subunit ribosomal RNA
Source: RNAcentral
UACGGGGGGGGCAAGCGUUGUUCGGAAUUACUGGGUGUAAAGGGCUCGUAGGUGGCCAACUAAGUCAGACGUGAAAUCCCUCGGCUUAACCGGGGAACUGCGUCUGAUACUGGAUGGCUUGAGUUUGGGAGAGGGACGCGGAAUUCCAGGUGUAGCGGUGAAAUGCGUAGAUAUCUGGAGGAACACCGGUGGCGAAGGCGGCGUCCUGGACCAAUACUGACACUGAGGAGCGAAAGCCAGGGGAGCAAACGGG